This 253-nucleotide ribosomal RNA is filed under the name uncultured bacterium. RNAcentral's name for it is "partial 16S ribosomal RNA". It matches the Rfam family "Bacterial small subunit ribosomal RNA", at positions 524 to 776 of the family's 1533-position model. The record is from RNAcentral.
UACAGAGGUCUCAAGCGUUGUUCGGAUUCAUUGGGCGUAAAGGGUGCGUAGGCGGCGCGGUAAGUCGGGUGUGAAAUCUUGGAGCUUAACUCCGAAACUGCAUUCGAUACUGCCGUGCUUGAGGACUGGAGAGGAGACUGGAAUUUACGGUGUAGCGGUGAAAUGCGUAGAUAUCGUAAGGAAGACCAGUGGCGAAGGCGAGUCUCUGGACAGCAACUGACGCUGAGGCACGAAGGCCAGGGGAGCAAACGGG